ACAUCUGAGCAACUACAGUCAAUGAGGGCUGUUAAAAUCAUUAUCUAUCUGCCAAUGCUAGCGGCCAUGAAGCUCACAAGUGGCUGAAAGGCACUGGAUGCUAACAAAAAAUAACAAAGUAAAACUGAGGAGAGAGUGACCCACCUCCCUGGGUUUGGGAAACAUUAUUAGGAAUAAAAAGCCCUUAUCAGAGCUGCUCAUUGCCUCUGUCCUUUCAUACUCCACCAGUGGGUACUGAUAUCUCCAAAUUAUGCCGCCCCCCCAAAUGUGAUCCUUCCCAUUUAUCCAAAGUUCACACAAAAUCACAGAAUGAGAAGUAUAACAGACCCCCUCCUCAGGCACCCCAGGCCUCAGUGUGGAAUGGAUACACUCCGUAUAGACUGUUUCCCAUGGGCUAUGGGACCCAGGCAGCGUCCCUGGGUCUCCAUGCUUCAUACAUGGUCCUCUAUGCCAGCCUCAUGGGAAUCUUGCCCCACCCCUGCACCUCCCCAUUUCCUCCAUUUCUAAUUGUGCUUUUAUGUCAAAACCUCUUUUUUUCUCCUGCUCUGUUGACAUAACUUUUAAUGUAUAUUACAUUCUACUAUGUGCAUGUAACUUAAUUAACAGUGACCGACACAUUACAUAGGAGGUGCUGUUCAUAUACUAACUCAUUUGCUCCUCGUAACCGCUCUAAGACACGGCACUACUGACAUUUUAAAAAUGGAACUGAGGCACAGUGGGGUUGAGAAACCAGCCCAAGGUCACACAGCUCAGAGGAGGCUUGCACCCAGGCCAUCUCCUGGGCUGCUAAAGCUGUGGCUGUCCAGCCCUUGCCUGAUGGUGUGUCCUGACUCCGUGUUGGGUUUGGACUAUCAUCACAUCACCCAGCUGUCCCCUGGGUUUACCUGUGCUGUGAGAUUCAGCUUUGGACAGAUCAUGCUCCCAUCCUGUGAAGGUUUGCCUGUGUUUUCAAAAUUUUUGGCAGGGCUUAAGUUUUGUCUCAUCCCAAUUUUUGGCUCAGACUUUCUGCUGCAGAAUCUUUCAACUAAGGGAGCCUGGCUUUAGAAUACACCACAGUAACCCCAUCCUGACCUGUAAGCAGAAGUUUAAGCAGGAUUUUAAAAGUUGCUUAAAAUUCUAGAAAGGAAAUUUAAGAGUUAAUUAAAAAAAAAAGCAAGAAAUCCAUGUGAGUGUGUUAAAUAAAGGCUUCUGAAGGGCACAAGAAAAUGGAAAACGUAGUGGGAAAAUCACAGAUGCUUGACUAGCUUAAAACAUGGAAAAGAAGGCUAGUGAUGGGUUGACUGCUUACAAGAGCAUCUCCAAGGAUGGAAAGCUUGAAGAAUGAGCAAACCUAAAUAUGGCAGUGAAGUGCAAUUUACUAAACACAUACAGGGGGAGUAGGAAAGUUUGUAAAUUAUCCAGGACAAGAAAGGUUAAAAGGGAUACCUUUAUAAGAUGAGGAAGGAAAAUUGGUAACAAUGGAUGCUACUUAAAAGGCAGCUGCUGAGUCACUGAAUGGGUAUAAUUUGGAAACAGCCAGAUAUGAAGAGUGGAGAGUAAGAAUGUGGGCUCUGGAGGGCCUUGAGCAUGUUUAUAAAUGGGCACAGCAGAGCAGUGGCCUGAGGCCAGGCUUAGGUGGACAGUGCCUUAAUGCUGGACACCCAGGGACCCAGAUCGGCAUACCCAUCCCCCUGUGUAUGCUCAGGUCAGCAUGUAGAUGGAAUCUGUAAAAUAGAAGUGUAGUUGGAAAUAAUAAUCACUGUCCAUAUCAAAAAUAAGCAGUGACUAAUCAUAAGGAAAUAAAAAUGAUAUAUGUAAAACCUUGAUCAGUACUUAUGGAAUGGGCAUCAGCUUUGUGCACCAUGACCACAUAAGUAAGAGGGUGACAAAGGCAAGAGUGACAUGGAAGGGAUGGCUCCAGGUGGCAGGACAAAAAAGACAGAUGAAGGUGAUACCAAUCUUAUGUAAGAAAGGGAAAAGAGCAUUUUGAAUUUUGGCAAAUAAUCACACAGAAAUAGUGUGACGAUGAGUCUGCUUCCAAAUCAGAGGAUUAAUGACUAAGAAUAGAAGAAGAAAUAAAGAAUUUCUCCAACAAACAAAAGCUAACAGAGUACAGCAAUACUAAACCCAUUCUAAAAGAAAUACUGAAAGGCCUUCUCUAAAUAAAAAAGAAGAAAUAGGAUGGAGGAAAUCACAAUUGGAAAGCAAUCACUUAAAUAAGCCAGUGUACAGAUCUAAAAGGAAAAAAAAACCCUACUGUAAAACUGAUGAGAAACACAAGGAAUAGCAAAAGGACAAACAUGAAGAUGUUAAAAAAGGACUUCAAAAUCAUAGAAUGUGGGGAAGGAAAGUAAGAAAACAUAGACUUUUUUUUUUUUUUUAAAUAAUGUGUUUGAGCCUGUGUGACUAUCAGGCUAAAGUAAGCUGAUAUAGGAAGGGGUUAACAUGCUUAAAAACCAGGGCAACCAUAAAUAAAAACCAAACAUUAUAUUCACAAAAACUAAAAAGAAAAGUACACGAGCAUAAAAUAAAUGGAAAUCAUCCAACCAAAAAAAGAAAGGAACAAAGGAGAAACAUAGAAUCAAUUGGAAAACAAGGUUUAAAAUGGCAAUAAAUAUAUAUUUAUCAAUAAUUACCUUAAAUGUCAAUGGACUAAAUGCUCCAAUCAAAAGACACAGAGGGGCAGACUGGAUUAAAAAGCAAGAGCCUACAAUAUGCUGUCUACAAGAGACUCCCCUUAGGGCAAAGGACCCAUAUAGAUUGAAAGUAAAGGGAUGGGAAAAGAUAUUUCAUGCCAAUGGACAAGACAGGAAAGUAGGAGUUGCAAUACUCAUAUCAGACAAAAGAGACUUUAGGAGCUCCCAUUGCAGUGGCCUGGGAGGGAGAGUAGGACCUGCAAGAUACCCCUCCCUUCCUGUCUGGAUGCCUGGGAGCCAAGGACAGAGGC
Molecule: long non-coding RNA, 2926 nt
Filed under: Sus scrofa (pig)
Lineage: Eukaryota; Metazoa; Chordata; Mammalia; Artiodactyla; Suidae
Description: lncRNA (ENSSSCG00050064665.1)
Source: RNAcentral